RNAcentral lists this unclassified non-coding RNA (586 nucleotides) under Hevea brasiliensis (rubber tree). The record is from RNAcentral. Lineage: Eukaryota; Viridiplantae; Streptophyta; Magnoliopsida; Malpighiales; Euphorbiaceae.
GAAAAUUGUAGGAAAUGCACAAUUUCGGUGGCAAAGUGAUGUUGAGGAUCCACAUACAUUUGUUGAUCUUUUCGUAUCAAAUGAUGAUCCGACAUUGCUGAUGAGAUCAUGUGCAUUCUACCCUAAAUUUGGGUUUGGAGCUUUUGGCAUUUUCCCAGUCCUUUUAAAGAAAAGAGUAUCUUCACAAGAUUAUGGAGUCAUGGGUUUGAGAUAUGGCUCAUCAAAUCUCUCGGUUGGAGCUACUCUUAUGCCUUUCGCUUUGGGAGAUGAUGUUCCCAAAAGUGCAUGGCUGGUGAGCAAAAUGGGAAGAUUAACCACCGGGGUGCAGUAUGAAUCACAGUUUGGUAGCAAAAGUGGCCAAAAGUUUAAGAACUUAGAAAAUUGGAGCUGUGCCAUUGGCUAUGGAGUGGGAUCAGGCAGCCCUUUGAGCCCAUCCUUCAAUUUUGGUCUUGAGCUUGCGAAGAGUUCACAGUUUAUUGCUUCAUUCUAUCAACACGUGGUGGUUCAAAGACGGGUGAAAAAUCCACUAGAAGAAGACGAAGUAGUUGGAAUUACUAAUUAUAUAGAUUUCGGGUUUGAGUUGCAG